This 253-nucleotide ribosomal RNA is filed under the name uncultured bacterium. RNAcentral's name for it is "partial 16S ribosomal RNA". It matches the Rfam family "Bacterial small subunit ribosomal RNA", at positions 524 to 776 of the family's 1533-position model. The record is from RNAcentral.
GACAGAGGGUGCGAACGUUGUUCGGAAUUACUGGGCGUAAAGCGCAUGUAGGCGGCAGCGCAAGUCGGGCGUGAAAUCCCACGGCUCAACCGUGGAAGUGCACUCGAAACUGCGCAGCUAGAGUCCUGGAGAGGAGGGUGGAAUGCUUGGUGUAGAGGUGAAAUUCGUAGAUAUCAAGCGGAACACCGGUGGCGAAGGCGGCCUUCUGGACAGUGACUGACGCUGAGAUGCGAAAGCGUGGGGAGCAAACAGG